Molecule: ribosomal RNA, 253 nt
Filed under: uncultured bacterium
Lineage: Bacteria
Description: partial 16S ribosomal RNA
Rfam family: Bacterial small subunit ribosomal RNA
Source: RNAcentral
UACGUAGGGUGCGAGCGUUAAUCGGAAUUACUGGGCGUAAAGCGUGCGCAGGCGGUUGUGUAAGACAGAUGUGAAAUCCCCGGGCUCAACCUGGGAACUGCAUCUGUGACUGCAUUGCUGGAGUGCGGCAGAGGGGGAUGGAAUUCCGCGUGUAGCAGUGAAAUGCGUAGAUAUGCGGAGGAACACCGAUGGCGAAGGCAAUCCCCUGGGCCUGCACUGACGCUCAUGCACGAAAGCGUGGGGAGCAAACAGG